UGGGGAAUAUUGGACAAUGGGCGAAAGCCUGAUCCAGCAAUGCCGCGUGAGUGAUGAAGGCCCUAGGGUUGUAAAGCUCUUUUACCCGGGAUGAUAAUGACAGUACCGGGAGAAUAAGCUCCGGCUAACUUCGUGCCAGCAGCCGCGGUAAUACGAGGGGAGCUAGCGUUGUUCGGAAUUACUGGGCGUAAAGCGCGCGUAGGCGGUUUUUUAAGUCAGAGGUGAAAGCCCGGGGCUCAACCCCGGAAUUGCCUUUGAAACUGGAAAACUAGAAUCUUGGAGAGGUCAGUGGAAUUCCGAGUGUAGAGGUGAAAUUCGUAGAUAUUCGGAAGAACACCAGUGGCGAAGGCGACUGACUGGACAAGUAUUGACGCUGAGGUGCGAAAGCGUGGGGAGCAAACA
RNAcentral lists this ribosomal RNA (402 nucleotides) under uncultured bacterium. RNAcentral's name for it is "bacterial SSU rRNA". It matches the Rfam family "Bacterial small subunit ribosomal RNA", at positions 355 to 774 of the family's 1533-position model. The record is from RNAcentral.